GCCGGAGGAAGUGGGAUGAUGUCAAGUCAGCACUUGGCCUUUAUGGGUAGGGCUUCACACGUCAUACAAUGGUCGGUACAGAGGGUUGCCAAGCCGCGAGGUGGAGCCAAUCCCUUAAAGCCGAUCGUAGUCCGGAUCGUAGUCUGCAACUCGACUACGUGAAGUCGGAAUCGCUAGUAAUCGCAGAUCAGCAUGCUGCGGUGAAUACGUUCCCGGGUCUU
RNAcentral lists this ribosomal RNA (221 nucleotides) under uncultured Thauera sp. RNAcentral describes it as "partial 16S ribosomal RNA". It matches the Rfam family "Bacterial small subunit ribosomal RNA", at positions 1162 to 1382 of the family's 1533-position model. Lineage: Bacteria; Pseudomonadati; Pseudomonadota; Betaproteobacteria; Rhodocyclales; Zoogloeaceae. The record is from RNAcentral.